CCUGAGGCCUAUCCUGACCUGGCCUUAAAUGUGGGCCUGUGUUGUGGAAAAUGUCUCAAAGAACAAAUCUGUAGUUUCGCUUUACCCACACAGUUCUUUGCCAUGAACCUUGUGGGAUAUCACUGCAGAACAUUU
Small nucleolar RNA from Nerophis lumbriciformis (worm pipefish), 135 nucleotides. The record is from RefSeq and is a predicted model, not a curated record. Lineage: Eukaryota; Metazoa; Chordata; Actinopteri; Syngnathiformes; Syngnathidae.